RNAcentral lists this unclassified non-coding RNA (353 nucleotides) under Hevea brasiliensis (rubber tree). The record is from RNAcentral. Lineage: Eukaryota; Viridiplantae; Streptophyta; Magnoliopsida; Malpighiales; Euphorbiaceae.
AUUUAUAUCUUCUUCAUUCUGUCGCCCUACCCCAUCAUCCAUAGCCUCUGUCUUGACUAUAGCAGUCGGCGGAGGUUUUUGCUUGGGACAAUUCGCAUCGGCAAAGAAAUCCAUCUCAGUAAUUAUUCUGUUUCCAUGGGAAAUGGAACGAUGCCCACCAUCGCAAGAGUGGCUUACAAGACGAUCAGUAGAUGGGUCCAUGACAAUGAUAUCGUGCAUCCACUUAGUGUUUAUUCCAGGCGGCUGGGAAAUGAUCAAGGAACUUGUGGGAUCAGCGCCACAAGAGAGUCUUCUUACUUUUGUCCAUUAAAAAGGAGAAGGAAAUGGGUAGAGAGAGAGAGAGAGAGAGAGAG